UGCGCUUGUGAAUCCGUGCACUUAAUGAAUGCUGCUUCAUCCUUCGUUGCUUCGUCAUAUAUGAUACGCAUGGAGUGACGUAGCACAUACAAACGUGAAAUCAUCUUUAAACUGCCCUGUAAAUUGGUGUCCAUGAGCAAAAUUAGACAUACUAUCGAUGUCAGGUGACGCAUCCUGACGUCCAACAAAUGAGUGACAUGUAUUUGUUGGGUUUGCGUCUUAGUUUCAGCAAAUUCAUGCAGCGCCAAAGGCAAAGACAAAGGUUUGGCUGCCGGCGCGGGUCACCAUUAUGUUCGUUUCAGAUUGUUCUUUAAAAAAACGAGUAGGAAAGAUGUGGCACGUAUUUAAUUUUUCUUCCAUCAAGCAAUGAUAUUAUUUAUUUUCUUUUUAAAAAUAAUACACAUUUUUUUCUUCUAUAAAACAAUGAUGUCAAUUAAUAUUCUUCCAAAAUCAUCAAGCAAUAAUGCCAUUUAUUUUUCUUCUAAAAAUAACACAUCUUUCUUUUCCUUCCGUAAACAAUGAUGACAAUUAUUUUAUUUCUAAAAGAAAAAAUAUCGUGAAUUAUGGGUAAACACAUGUGCAAAGAAAAGUAUGUGUAUAAUAAAGAAAAGUAAUACGUUAAUACACGUUUUUAUUUUCCUUUCAUAAACAAUGAUGUCAAUUAUUAUCCUUCCAGAAGAGAAAAUGACGUGAAUUAUGUGCCAAUUUAUGUGUAAAGGAAAAUAUAUGUGUGCUAAAGGAAAUUUCAUAAAAUAUAAAUUUCACGAACUGAAAGUCAGCAAUGUGAUGAUUUGAUUCAUCUUUAUCACGAUUGGCAAGUACUCCGAUGACCAUAAUGAAGUUAUUGCGGAGUUCAACAUCAUUGAGUUUGUCACCUAUUGUUUGGUCAAAAUCCGUUACAAUGCGUAGGAAUCUAAUACGACUUUAAAAAAAAAUCUCUAUCUCUACUAAAAAAGGCUAAGGGUGACGUUUUUUCGUCUACACAUCUGGUGGAUCCUUUGGUCACCCCUUGGUUAAGCCUCGGACGGCUGCGGAUCACCUGAUCAACUAGCGUCCCCGUCCGAUCUACCCUACCGCACGUCGCGCUCCCGCAUGCACACAAUCUCCUCCGUGCCCCUCCUCCCACCCUCCCCCGUGCGGCCGCCGCCAUCCUCGCCAAGGUGACGGGAAUUUCCAUCCUCUUCGUCCGUCCUGUAUGUCGCCUCGCGGCCCCGUCCCCGGCAUCGCCGCCGAUCCACUCCGUCCCCGGCCCCUGUCCUCGACGUCUCCGGUCCGCUCCGUCCCCGGCGUUGGCGUCGCCGGUCCGCUCCGUCGCAGCUGCACCGGUCCGCGAUCGGAGGGGCCCAUCCCCGGCUUCAGCUUCGCUGCCGAUCCGCUCCGUCCCCGGCAUCGGCGUCGCUGCUGCUCUGUCUCGGCAACUCCGUCGCCGCUGCCCCGAUCCGCGACGGGAGGGUCCCCCGUCCCCGGCAUCGCCGCCGAUCCGCUCCGUCUCCGUGAGCCGCCCAUCCGUGCGGAGCGUCACCCACCCUCCAUCCAAUCGAACCCCCCCCCCCCCCCCCCCCCCCCGCGGCCACAUCGACGCCUGGCGCCGUCCCAUCGUCGGCAGCCCCGCUGCUUGGUGCCGCACGGAGCGUCUGCUAGCCCGCCACCCGCCAUCCCGUCGUGCAGAGCAAGCGCCGUUUGCACGGCGCCAUCCCAUCGCGCAGAACCGGUGUCCUCCCUUCGCGAGCUGCCGCGCGGAGUGAUGGCUGGCCCGUCGUCUUGCUUCAUCCACGACAUUCUCCAACCCCAUGUACCAGGUUGAUCAGGAUAGCAGCGAUGGCAGGGCAUUUGCAUGACAUGAAAAUGAUGGCACCCUUUGGAUGUGGAGUGGUUCUUUUUAGGUGGACUGAAUGAUCUUCCUGACCGCGACAUGGAUAAUAAGGUGAUUUUGCUUCUUCUUCUUCUUCUUUUUCUAAGUGCAGAUGAUGUCUUGUAUUUUUCUUUUUUGAAAUAAAAUGCCUUGUACUUUUCACUGAAAUAAGCAUAGAAUUAAGUCAAUGAAUUUCUUCUGGAUA
Molecule: long non-coding RNA, 2057 nt
Organism: Panicum virgatum (switchgrass)
Lineage: Eukaryota; Viridiplantae; Streptophyta; Magnoliopsida; Poales; Poaceae
Exons: 2
Source: RefSeq, a predicted model, not a curated record